RNAcentral lists this ribosomal RNA (4500 nucleotides) under Triticum aestivum (bread wheat). Its description in RNAcentral is "partial small subunit ribosomal RNA". The record is from RNAcentral. Lineage: Eukaryota; Viridiplantae; Streptophyta; Magnoliopsida; Poales; Poaceae.
AUGGAUGUGAAUGGAAAAUUAUCUGAUGGCGACUUAAAUAAAACAGAAGCUCUUCACUCGAAUGGACAGCCGGUAGAUGAUGUCAUAAUUAUAGAAUCUGAAGGGGAUGAGAACAAAGUUGUAGUAGAAACUAACAUCAUAGAAGGUCCAUUUGAGGAGCACAAGGAACACAGAUGUGGCAAAACGGACAAUAGUGUGCAUGAAGAAGCAUCCACUAGCACUGAUGAUGAUUCAGACAGUGACCUGUAUGGAUUUCUCCGCGAGUCAGAGAAUGAACAAACUUCAGAGUCUGAUGUUGAGGAGACAGACAUUGAGGUGGCUCUGCCCGAGGAAAAAGUCGAAGAAUUAGUUGCUGAAUUCCAUGAUGUUGAGAGCAAAGCUGCUGAGGCGCAAGAAUCACUUGAAAAGGAAUCACUGGAAAAAAUUGAGGCUGAAGUAAGAUUGGAGUUAUCUGAGAGGCUCCAAGGAGAUGCGUUGGACUUAGCUGUGGCAAUUGAGAUGGAGCAAUUCAAGAAGGAAUGGUCAACCGAACUUGAUGAUUUGGAGAUCCGUAGUGCUGUUCUGCUGGAAGAACUUGAUGCUGCUGGCGUUGAACUUCCCAGCCUUUAUAAAUCAAUAGAAAGUCAAGCGCCAAAUGUUUGUGAGACUGAAGCAUGGAAAAACAGGACUCAUUGGGCUGGUUCUCAAGUUCCUGAACAAGCUAAUCUAUCAAUCAGAAAAGCUGAUGAGUACCUGCAGUCUUGUAGACCUGUAAGGAGAAAACAUGGAAGGCUGCUGGAGGAAGGUGCUAGUGGCUUUCUUGCAGGAAAAGUUCCUCUUGUGGAUGAUGAUUCUGUACAGUGCCAUGAGAAAAGUUGGAGUUCAUUCAAUGAACUUAUUAAAUCUAUUAAGUGUGCCAAAACUUCUUUUGGAAGCAGUAACUGGGCAUCAGUUUAUCUGGCCAAUACACCCCAGGAAGCUGCCGCCUUAGGUCUCCAAUUUCCAGGAGUUGAUGAGGUGGAGGAGAUAGCUGAAGUUGAUGGUGCUGUUGAUGACAUAAAAUGUGUUGAUGAAAUAGAGCUUUCUGAAGAACAGAGGAGAAAAUACAGAAAGGUAAGAGAAGAAGAUGAUGCAAAGGCGAUAAAACGUUUGCGGCGUUAUAUGGAAAAAAGGACAGACGGCUGGUGCAAGGUACCUGCUCAUGGCAAUGUCGGUUUGACCUCGUCAUCAAAUGGAUGCUGUAAGCUACCUCUGUCAUUAGAUGAUGGUGUUUUGGACGCCAACAGGGGUCGUCCUUUAUCUGAGAAACAGAAAAUGGAUAAAGAUGAAGUUUCCGCUGAGUUGCUGAAGCGAACACGUGAAGAUGAUGUUGAGCUUGACCACAAGAGGUCAAAAACUAUAGUGAUAGAGAGUGACGAUGACAUGCAGAUGGACAGCAAGCUAGUUCUGCAUAUCAAGGACAGCGAGCAUAGUUCAGCAGAGCUUGAAAAGGGGGUUGACAUUAUUGAUCUUGAUCUUUUCCCAUCACAAAGCCCUAAGUUUAGUGAUAUGGAUUUACCCAAGUCUUUUAAGUGCACAAUUUGCACCAAAAUGUUGAAUGCCUCUGAUGUGCAUCGUCACCCAGUACUGGAUGUUGCUGUUUGUGGGUCUUGCAGAUUUCUGGUGAUAGAGAAGAACCGUCUUGAGGGCCCUGUAUCUGGUGGUUAUUGCACCUGGUGUGUUCAGUGUGAACAACUUCUAAGUUGCAGUUCCUGUAAGAUGCUUUUUUGUACAAAAUGCUUGUUAAAGAAUCUUGGUGAGAAAUGCAUAUCAGAAGCUAAAGUCACUGGCUGGCAGUGUUGCUGCUGCCAACCCAGUCAACUGGAACACUUAGUUUCUGAAUGUGAUAAGGCUCUGAGUGGUGUUGAAUCUUCUGAUCUCGAGGGUGACAACACUUCUGGAACCGAAACCAAUGACCCUGUUAGCAAGCACAAAAGGAAAAAGAAGAUAAGAAGAAUCAUGGAUGAUACAGAACUUGGGGAGGAAACAAAGCGUAAAAUUGCAAUGGAGAAGGCUAGGCAAGAACAUUUGAAGUCAAUGCAUGAGCAGUCUGCCAGCAAGUUAAGGAGCAGCAACAUUGGAACUUCCUCUGGGGCUGUAUUGGAAGUCUUUCUACAGGAUGCUGGGGAUGGCCAUAUUGUCAACCCUGCCAGGGAGGAAGACGAGGAACCUGUUAGAAUUCCAAGCAGCAUAUCUGCUAAACUGAAGCCUCAUCAGGUAGCAGGAAUAAUAUUUAUGUGGGAAAAUGUUAUCCAGUCUGUUAGAACAGUCAAAUCUGGUGACAAAGGUUUUGGGUGCAUUUUGGCGCAUAACAUGGGGCUUGGGAAAACUUUUCAGGUUAUUACCUUCCUGUACGUUGUUAUGAGAUGUGCCCAGUUGGGACUCCGCACGGCACUUAUAGUUACCCCUGUUAAUGUUCUGCAUAAUUGGAAGAAAGAGUUCACCAAGUGGCAACCGGCCGAACUAAAGCCCCUUCGUGUGUACAUGCUGGAAGAUGUUCCGAGGCUAAAAAGGCUGUAUUUACUUAACAAGUGGCGAGCAAAAGGUGGAGUACUUCUCAUUGGUUAUUCAUCAUUUAGGAACUUAUCUCUUGGAAGACAUGUGAAGGAAAAAGAUACUGCAGAUGAGAUUUCUAAUGCGUUGCAGUGUGGGCCAGAUAUUCUUGUAUGUGAUGAAGCACAUAUGAUAAAGAAUAGGAAGGCCGACACUACACACGCUCUAAAACAAGUAAAGACGCAAAGAAGAAUUGCGUUAACUGGAUCCCCAUUACAGAAUAAUUUGAUGGAAUAUUACUGUAUGGUUGAUUUUGUCAGGGAAGGUUUUCUUGGAAGCAGCCAUGAAUUCCGCAAUAGGUUCCAGAACCCGAUUGAAAAUGGGCAGCACACAAAUUCUACAUCAGAUGAUGUCAAGAUCAUGAACCAACGGUCACACAUUCUGUAUGAACAGCUGAAAGGCUUUGUCCAGCGAAUGGACAUGAAUGUGGUGAAGAAUGAUCUACCGCCGAAGAAGGUUUUUGUCAUUACCGUAAAGCUCUCUCAACUGCAAAGAAAACUAUACCGAAGAUUCUUGGAUGUGCAUGGUUUCUCAAGCGGCACUUCUGAAAAACCUUAUCAGCACGGUGGCUUCUUUGCCAAAUAUCAAAAACUAGCCCAGAUAUGGAACCACCCGGGCCUUCUCCAGAUGGCUAAAGAGCAGAGAGGAAGUCUGCGCCGAGAAGAUGCUGUUGAGAACUUUCUGACGGAUGAGAGUUCUAGUGACGAUAAUCAUAGUAUUGAAAUUCAACUGCCAAAUGGAGGGAAACAGAAGAGUAGGACUGAUCAGCAGUCCAAGAAAAUUGACUUACUGAACGAGGAAAGUAACUGGUGGGAGAACCUUCUGGAUGAUAAUACUUUUAAGGAAGCAGAUUACAGUGGCAAAAUGGUCUUGCUCCUUGAUAUACUGGCGACUUGUUAUGAAUUGGGUGACAAGGCACUAGUGUUCAGCCAGAAUUUGACCACUUUGGAUUUGGUGGAGUUUUAUCUAUCUAAGAUGCAAAUCAAAGGAAAAGAAGGCAAAUAUUGGAAGCAGGGCAAGGACUGGUACAGGCUUGAUGGGAGCACUCCAUCAUCCGAGCGGCAGAACCUUGUCGAAAGAUUUAAUGACCCUGCAAACACAAGAGUAAAAUGCACAUUGAUAUCUACUCGAGCUGGAUCUCUGGGUAUCAACCUUCAUGCAGCAAACCGUGUGGUCCUUCUGGAUGGUUCAUGGAAUCCAACACAUGAUUUGCAGGCCAUUUAUCGGGUUUGGAGGUAUGGCCAGAUGAAACCUGUGUAUGCUUACCGCCUAAUGGCACAUGGAACAAUGGAAGAGAAAAUAUAUAAGCGGCAGGUGACAAAAGAAGGGCUCGCAGCAAGAGUGGUGGAUAGACAACAAGUAUCUAGAACAAUUUCCAAAGAAGAGAUGUUGCAUCUCUUUGAAUUUGGUGAUGAGGAAUUGUUGGACGAGAGUGGGAAUGAUACCAUAAUUGAUCGCACGAAGGUUGGAAUGGAGAAGCUAUCCAUGCCCAAUAGCACUGAACUACCGGUGGACACGCUCAUGCUGAACCUACUUAGUGAUCACCCUCGGUGGAUUGCAGGUUACCAUGAACACGAAGUUCUUCUGCAAGAAAACGAAGAGGAAAGACUCACCAAGGAAGAGCAAGAUAUGGCAUGGUCAAAUUUUAAACAAUCGCAGCAGUUGGAUGCCGUGGCAAGGAAAGCUGCACAUGAUCACGAGAGAAAACCAAUAGAGAGCAAACCUCCCCCGCCUAAAGUUACUUCAAGAAGUCGGCAGGCGCAGCAACCAAAAUCUCAUUCGAACAACCAGAAGAAAUGCACCAACUUGAACCACAUGCUGACUCUCAGAAGCCACGGUACCAAAGCUGGAUGCACGACAAGCUGUGACGAAUGUGGCCAGACCAUUAGUUGGGAGACACUAAACAGAUCAGAUGGUAGAUUGAGGUGA